RNAcentral lists this ribosomal RNA (404 nucleotides) under Fusobacteriota bacterium. RNAcentral describes it as "Fusobacteria bacterium partial 16S ribosomal RNA". It matches the Rfam family "Bacterial small subunit ribosomal RNA", at positions 355 to 776 of the family's 1533-position model. Lineage: Bacteria; Fusobacteriati; Fusobacteriota. The record is from RNAcentral.
UGGGGAAUAUUGCACAAUGGAGGGAACUCUGAUGCAGCGACGCCGCGUGAGUGAUGAAGGAAUUCGUUUCGUAAAACUCUGUUCUAUGGGAAGAAAAGGACUGUACCAUAGGAGAAAGCUCCGGCUAAAUACGUACCAGCAGCCGCGGUAAUACGUAUGGAGCGAGCGUUGUCCGGAAUUAUUGGGCGUAAAGGGUGCGCAGGCGGCUUUACAAGUUGGAUGUGAAAUAUUGUGGCUCAACCACAAACGUGCAUCCAAAACUGCAAAGCUUGAGUUAAGGAGAGGUAAGUGGAAUUCCUGGUGUAGCGGUGGAAUGCGUAGAUAUCAGGAGGAAUACCGGUGGCGAAGGCGACUUACUGGACUUAAACUGACGCUCAGGCACGAAAGCGUGGGGAGCAAACAGG